This 180-nucleotide microRNA precursor is filed under the name Lotus japonicus. RNAcentral describes it as "miR11079 stem-loop (lja-MIR11079)". The record is from miRBase by way of RNAcentral. Lineage: Eukaryota; Viridiplantae; Streptophyta; Magnoliopsida; Fabales; Fabaceae.
GUUGGGGAGAGUCACGACGAGGACCCAUGGGCCAAGGCCAAGGGGAGAUACCAAGGAGAUCUUGGACACCACAUCUUAACCUAGAGCCUUAAGGUUUUGGGUUAAGAUGUGGUGUCCAAUAUCUCCUUGGUGUUUCCCCUCGACCUUGUCCCAUGGGUCCUCGUUGUGACUCUCCCCAAC